Molecule: ribosomal RNA, 253 nt
Filed under: uncultured bacterium
Lineage: Bacteria
Description: partial 16S ribosomal RNA
Rfam family: Bacterial small subunit ribosomal RNA
Source: RNAcentral
UACGGGGGGAGCAAGCGUUGUUCGGAUUUACUGGGCGUAAAGAGCGUGUAGGCGGCCACACAGGUCUGCUGUGAAAACUCGAGGCUCAACCUCGAGCUGUCGGUGGAAACCGUGUGGCUAGAGUCCGGAAGAGGAGAGUGGAAUUCCCGGUGUAGCGGUGAAAUGCGCAGAUAUCGGGAAGAACACCCGUGGCGAAGGCGGCUCUCUGGGACGGUACUGACGCUGAGACGCGAAAGCGUGGGGAGCGAACAGG